GUCCAUGCCGUAAACGUUGGGCACUAGGUGUGGGGACAUUCCACGUUUUCCGCGCCGUAGCUAACGCAUUAAGUGCCCCGCCUGGGGAGUACGGCCGCAAGGCUAAAACUCAAAGGAAUUGACGGGGGCCCGCACAAGCGGCGGAGCAUGCGGAUUAAUUCGAUGCAACGCGAAGAACCUUACCAAGGCUUGACAUGAACCGGAAAGACCUGGAAACAGGUGCCCCCGCUUGCGGUCGGUUUACAGGUGGUGCAAUGGUUGUCGU
RNAcentral lists this ribosomal RNA (265 nucleotides) under uncultured bacterium. RNAcentral's name for it is "partial 16S ribosomal RNA". It matches the Rfam family "Bacterial small subunit ribosomal RNA", at positions 793 to 1055 of the family's 1533-position model. The record is from RNAcentral.